GGAGCACCACUUUUUGGAAAAAGAGAAAAAAGAAGCGAUGAGUUCCUUUGAGCCCAGCAGUCACAGAGACCCUCCUGUAGGACAGACUGGUCUCCUCAGCACUAGGGCUCGAGUCCAAGCUGGCAAGAUGCUUUCUGCAUCAAGAUUAAAUGUGUCUGGGAAACCAGAGAGACGAAAGAAACAGCUACAUGCUGCUGACAGCAGGGAGUACAGGCAAAAAUGUUUUCUGUACCCCAGGAAUGCAAAGUCACCACCCUGACACAUUGAAUUAUCAGCUUUAUACUAAGAAGCAAGAUGCUAGAGGAGUUCAUGUUUCCUCCCUAGAUGCUGGAAACCAUCACCAAAGAGGAUCAGAAGCAGCAUGGGACCAGUGGAAAAACUAUCCUGACUGAAACACUGAUUAAGUUGCUGGACCUAGAGGACCAAGUAGCAGCCUGUGGUCCUGAGCUAGGAAAGCCGAAUGAUGGCUCGGCUCUGUGUCUCAAGACCACCUGUUGGCCCAAAACCUCUGUCUGGCCAGACAAGAAAUGCUUUGGAAAAAGAAUGUGCUUUUCUGUUUUUGAGAUUCACAGCCACGGAACCGGUAAAAUGAACACAGCUGGUAUCCUAAUUCCAUGGUCUUAGAGCAAGAAAAAUUAACCAUCCACCAUAGCUCUAGCAGUGCUUCCUAAACUGUUGUGAGGAGUACUAGGUGCAAGGAAUGCUAAUAGGUAUUUUGUGGAAAGGGCCUUCUGAAAAAUGCCGGGUCAAACAAAGUGAACUCGAUUUCUUUAUAGCUGGACUUAAGUAGUGUACACUGUUAAUAUAUUUAAAAAGUAAUAGUAGGUGUAAAAUGCAACAAUUCCAAAUUUUAUGGGAUCAGAAAAUAUACCAACAUCUUUGGUUCUAAUAUUUCAAGGAAUAGGGUUCUGGAAAUGCUGGCUUAUGAUAUUAGUGCUGAAUCCUGCAGUGGCCAACAUGGUCUCUCAGGGCCUGGAAACUGACCUCUCCUCUGCUUGAUCCUCAGCCACACCCCUUCUGCCUGUGCUCCAGCCACAGGAGCACUCACAGUACCCAACGAUGCCACAUGCCUUCAAGGCUGCUUGCCUCUGCUCAUGCCACUUCCUGCCCCCUGCUCCUGGGGAGCUCCUAUUCCUCCUGUAAGGCCUCAUUCCAGACACAUCCAUCCCUGGGAAGCUUCGCCUCAGCAACCAGUCUGCAGUGAUUAGCCCUGCAUUUAAAUGUCUACCAGCCUGUGCAUUCUACUACAGCGCCCACCCCUUCCUGCAGCUCUCUGCUUCCUUUCCUCCUCUGCCUUUCACUGUCUUUGACAGUGGCCAGGUCUUAUUUGUCAGUGUGUGCAAGUCAGUGCCUUGGCCCGGUCUGCAGUGAGGACCACUACUGCAAGAUUUCAAAUGCCUGUUCCAUGUUCUGCUAAUAAGGCUUGGUUAUAACAUAUUUACAAUUCACUAUAACUCAAAGUUCCGUUGUUAAUGCAAUCACUGAUAAAUAAACCUUAUAUGAAUGUGGCUACUUUUA
This is a long non-coding RNA of Sapajus apella (tufted capuchin), 1518 nucleotides long. RefSeq lists it as uncharacterized. NCBI's taxonomy places the organism in Eukaryota, Metazoa, Chordata, Mammalia, Primates, Cebidae. The transcript has 2 exons. The record is from RefSeq and is a predicted model, not a curated record.